CAAUAUAUAAAACAAAACUCUCUCUGGUGUGGUUCUCAUUUACAGAUUCUCCACCUUCCUUUCCUUGAAGCCAGUCACAGACGCUGCAAUGGGAAACAAAAUGAUCUGGGUUCUGGCCAUUUUGACCAUUGUAGGGCUCAGCAAUGCCUUGCAGCCUUCAGGACAAUGCAAUGUUCCAGCAAGAUCAAGAGAAAAUUGUGGCUACCCAGGCAUUGGUGAAAUUGAAUGUGGUGCAAGGCAAUGUUGCUUUGAUUCAAACGUGGUUGAUGCCCCCUGGUGCUUCAAACCCAUUUCAAUAGAAGAGUGUGUGUUAUAAGGAAGGGAUUCAGUGAUAGUAGGAACCACUUCUCUACACGAAGAAGGUGUGCACAAGUCACUUCAUCACCAUGAACCUGUUUCUUGACAAUGUUGGCAACUGAAAUCCUGCAGAAUUCUGAGACGAAUUGAACCACUUAAACCAUGCUAUAGAUUACUUCUUCUGAUUCUUUCCCCCCUACUAUUCAGCCCUUUACUCCUUCCUGAAGCAAUAAAUCUAAGCAAAAGUGUGUUGCGUCCUUAA
This is a long non-coding RNA of Lacerta agilis (Sand lizard), 559 nucleotides long. RefSeq lists it as uncharacterized. The record is from RefSeq and is a predicted model, not a curated record. The transcript is spliced from 3 exons. NCBI's taxonomy places the organism in Eukaryota, Metazoa, Chordata, Lepidosauria, Squamata, Lacertidae.